Molecule: ribosomal RNA, 463 nt
Filed under: uncultured bacterium
Lineage: Bacteria
Description: partial 16S ribosomal RNA
Rfam family: Bacterial small subunit ribosomal RNA
Source: RNAcentral
GACGAACGCUGGCGGCGUGCUUAACACAUGCAAGUCGAGCGGAAAGGCCCUGCUUUUGUGGGGUGCUCGAGUGGCGAACGGGUGAGUAACACGUGAGUAACCUGCCCUUGACUUUGGGAUAACUUCAGGAAACUGGGGCUAAUACCGGAUAGGAGCUCCUGCUGCAUGGUGGGGGUUGGAAAGUUUCGGCGGUUGGGGAUGGACUCGCGGCUUAUUAGCUUGUUGGUAGGGUAGUGGCUUACCAAGGCGUUGACGGGUAGCUGGCCUGAGAGGAUGACCAGACAGGCUGAGAUUGAGAAACGGCCCAGACUCCUACGGGAGGCAGCAGUGGGGAAUAUUGGAGAAUGGGCGAAAGCCUGCUCCAGCAAGGCCGCGUGAGUGAGGAAGGCCUUAGGGUUGUAAAGCUCUUUUAGCCGGGAUGAUAAUGACAGUACCGGGAGAAUAAGCUCCGGCUAACUCCGUG